AUGGCAAUAGCAGAUGAACUAAAAAAUAAGGACAUGAUACAUAAUGAAAAAUAUUCAGAGAUCAGAGAAGAACAAACCAGCCAGGGCAAAAUGAGAAAGCUCUUUGAAGCGCUUAAUGAAAAAAUGACUUUUUAUUAUGCUCUGAGAAAUCAUGAACCAUACCUCUUCAGAGAACUGGGUGGUGUGGCAAUGGAUUACAUCGAUGGCAACCAGAACAACCAGCUACAGUUAAACUGAAUAACCCCUGCAACCAAGACACGCAAACAGAUGUCACUUGGAAAAUAAGACGCAGCUGAAGAUAAAGUUCAUGCUAAUUAAAAUUGUCAUCAGUGAUUCUCCCUAAUGUCACUGAAAACCCACCUUUUCCCAUAAUUUUUUAACUUUGUGUUCCAUAUGAAUAUAGGUUUUCCUUGUGUAGAACAUUUGUAACAUUUUUAUGCAUUUUUUUAAAGAUUAAAUUACAAUAGUGUAUACAUCAUCAUCCAUAGUAAUUUAGCCAAGUCGUUAUAUUAUAAAAGAUUUUGAAAAAGAAAGUAAAUAUUUUAUUGCAUUGCUUGCAAACAUCUUGAUAAUCUGUUACACUGUAGUUUUUUUCCAAACACAGGUGUUGAACUUGUGUUAUAUGUACACCUACUUUUUAAAAAAAUUUGUACACCCACUUUUUAACACAUUUACAAUUAAACUUAAAUCAAUGAAAAUCAUCCACUGACUUGCAUCAGUGAUGUCAUAAUUCUUGUGAAUUGUCAUAUACUUGCUUUUAUGUAAUUUAGAGCUGCAUUUGUAAUGUUGAAUGCGUUUAUACUGUUCAUUUUCUUUCACACCACAUUCAAAUAACGUGCUUCUCUUUUCACUGGAUUCCCUUCUCAUUGAUAAUUUGAUAGCUUUGUGAAUUGGUUUACACAGUUUAUUUUUAAUUUUGUAAUUGGCAUUAAAUCUUUUACCUGGCAAAUAAUUUAAUUUGAUUAUUCUGGAUACUGAUAUGUCAAAGGAUUGCAAGGUGUCUGAUGUUACUGUACUUCAGAUCUAUCCCCAAGGUAUGAGCAUGAGCUCAUGAUUUGAAGGAAAAAACACUUCAGAGAGGACUUUUCCAUUACUCUGGAACCGCAUACUAGCAUAGCCUACACUCUUACUAUAGAAUAUCUUUCUAUGGCAGGAAUGAUAAGAGAAGUAUUUGUGUGGAUUUGAAUUCUGCAUCUGUCUUCUCACUUGAAUGGAUGUAGCUAAGUAGAACUAGCUUCAG
This is a long non-coding RNA of Cyprinus carpio (common carp), 1240 nucleotides long. Lineage: Eukaryota; Metazoa; Chordata; Actinopteri; Cypriniformes; Cyprinidae. The record is from Ensembl.